AUGAAUCAUAUCCGCCAGAUUCUUGGUGAUACACAGACCUAUAAAAUCACAGACUUUUCACAAUUUAAGAAGGUUGCUAAGCCAUAUUGUGCUUUCUGUAUUACUUCAUUUGACAGGUACUUCAAAGACAUUGCUCGUGGUAAAAUAGCGCUGAUUGCGAAAUACAGGAUGUGUGAAUUAACUUGUGAGAUUCUUGAUAUGAGACUUUUCAUUCUCUGGACGAUAGUCGAUGCAGACACUCCGCUUGUGAUGUCGUUUGUUCCUAUGUGGAGAAUCACUAUUGUGUAGUUGUGCAGUUUCUCAAAGUGUUUCACGUGUUGUUGAACGGAUCUCACAAGAGUCGUGUUUGGAUGAAUCCAACAUUGUGCGUUUGGAAAGUAGUGCUCAAUAUCCCAACACACUGAGUCUGUGAGGAAGCAGACCUGAAGACCUGGAGAAGAACACAAAUACUUGUUUUAACUAUUCUCAGUAUGAAUUAUGGGUAUAUUGAAUGUUUAUUGAUAAAGUGUGUAUUAGUUGCUUACCUUUUGGAACGAUGAAUGUUCUUUUGCUGAUUGUAGUUCUUAUUGAGCUUUUAUCUAAAGAGACAUGGAGAAGGCAUGUUAAUAUGUUAGUACAGUGAUAUUUUUGUUUGUAAACGGCUUCUGAUGCUCUGAAUUUUAUUCAGUAUUGUUAUUAUAGCUUUCAUGUGCACUAACCAUCUGUUUGUUCCCCAUUAUCUUCUUGUUUCACUCUGAAUGCUUCUUCAAUAUUCACGUCUUCACUCUCCACCUUAAUAAAUGCCAUCUUUAUAAUAGAGUGUCACAAGGAUCUCAGCUUCACCAGGGGUUUUUCUGUUUUAAUAUGUUGUCCUGUUUAAGAUGAGAAUAAUUAACAGAAAGAAGGAAUUUCAAAUUUAGAGUGAUAGUUAAUGGCCUUUAAUGACCCUAAUAAUCCCAAAACACUACAAUUAUCUUAAUACAAAGGUAUUGUUUAUAUUUAAUACAUUUCAUAGAUUACAUUUUCAUGAAAACAUUCACUGUUGGAAAACAAACAAACCAUAUACCUACAAUAUCCGGUUAUAGCUGUGGGAAACUCUUGAAGCAAAGACCAGGAGACACUUAACUGAGAUGCUGCUGUUCAGUGCUGCGGUCAUCAAGUGUGACUAAAACAGUGAAACACUGUAACUUUAUACAGAUUUUAGUGGGCUGUCCUUAAAGUUGAAGAUAAAGCAAACAAAGGAUGUAAGCAGUUAUAGGAACCAUUCAGACUCUGAGUUUCAGCAGCUCUAAAACAAUCAGCAUAACUAUAGCACUCAUUAUCAGAGACAUCAGGAAAAAUCCAGAUGCAUUCACACUUAACUCAGGUGUUUAUUAGCAUCAAUAAUGACCAUCAAUUACAGUAAUGAGGCAGAAGCAUCAAGAGCCAAUAAAGACAACAGAUGACAGAAUCACCAUGAUUUUACAUUUGUAUUCACGCACAACUAAAACAAAAGAGAUUAAUUUGAACAUUUAAACAGGAUUUAUACUUAUAAGCCUACAAUUUAAUUUUCACCAAAAUAGUUUUCUUUUGCAGUAAUUAUGUUGAAUGGACAGAUCAUCUCUUUAUGUGCAAUUGUAAAUAAAUGUGUCAGUUUAUUUAUACUUACCAAAGGAGUGAAUCACCAAAUGUAUUGAAGUGCCCUUGUUAAAAAAUAAACAUGUAUAAUUUGGAAGCAUUUUGGAAAAUACAGAUAGUGAUUAUACAUUAAACUCUAUAUAUAAAUAUUGAUUUCAAUUCAGCUAUUUUUUUUUCACAAAACAAAAUCUUUUCAGUGCCUUGAAAAACUGGUCAAAUGUUUAAAUAAAUAAAUUAUAUAUAUAUAUAUAUAUAUAUAUAUAUAUAUAUAUAUAUAUAUAUAUAUAUAUAUAUACACUUGCUCUUGAGUAGC
Cyprinus carpio carpio is the source of this 1909-nucleotide long non-coding RNA. NCBI's taxonomy places the organism in Eukaryota, Metazoa, Chordata, Actinopteri, Cypriniformes, Cyprinidae. The record is from Ensembl.